Molecule: ribosomal RNA, 694 nt
Filed under: endosymbiont of Ripidomyxa sp. RP010
Lineage: Bacteria
Description: partial 16S ribosomal RNA
Rfam family: Bacterial small subunit ribosomal RNA
Source: RNAcentral
GCGAUAUCUGGUGGACCGUUUAUAGAUGAAGAAAAUGACUGUAAUUUAUAAAAAAGACCCGGCAAACUUCGUGCCAGCAGCCGCGGUGAAACGGAGGGGUCUAGUGUUAUUCAACGUAACUGGGCGUAAAAGCAUGUAGUCGGAUAGCUAAGUUUGUUAAAAAAAAGACGUGGGGUUGAACCUAUGAGUUGAAUAUUGUUACUGGCUGUCUUUGAAUCUUGGAGGAGUUAUCGGCCCUUUGAAUGGAGAGGUAAAAUUCGUAGAUAUUCACGGUACGACCGGUGGUGGAAACUGAUAACUAUUUAAGAUUGACGAUGAGAUGCUAAAGUGUAGGGAUCAAAAAGGAUUCGAUACCCUUGUAGUCUACACCCUGACCGAUGAGUGUUGGAUUUAAAUUUUUAAGAAAAUUUUUGUCUAAUGUUAACGCAAAAACACUCCGCCUAGGAACUACAAUCGCAAGAUUAAAACUUAAAGGAAUUGACGGAGAGUUUUUUUCAGUGGUGGAGCAUGUGGUUUAAUGUGAUUCAACGCGCCAAAUCUUACCAAUCCUAGUUAUUAAUAUAUAUUGAAUGUAGUUUUUCAAUAAAAAUUAAUUGCGUAUAUACAUAUAAUUGCAUUAAUUUUUAAUUUAUUAAUAUCAGUUGAUGCAUGGCCGUCGUCAGUCCGUGCUUUGAAGUGUUUGGUUAGAUCUCUA